AACCCAACAGCUAGCCUCUACCACUAAAAACAACACCAAACUAUUUAUAACCCCUGAAACAUCAUACCCCCUCCCAACAAAACAUUUUCCCUCCUUAGUA
This 100-nucleotide ribosomal RNA is filed under the name Parapercis tetracantha. Its description in RNAcentral is "partial 16S rRNA". The record is from RNAcentral. Lineage: Eukaryota; Metazoa; Chordata; Actinopteri; Uranoscopiformes; Pinguipedidae.